RNAcentral lists this ribosomal RNA (253 nucleotides) under uncultured bacterium. Its description in RNAcentral is "partial 16S ribosomal RNA". It matches the Rfam family "Bacterial small subunit ribosomal RNA", at positions 524 to 776 of the family's 1533-position model. The record is from RNAcentral.
UACGAAGGGGGCUAGCGUUGCUCGGAAUCACUGGGCGUAAAGCGCACGUAGGCGGAUUUGCCAGUCAGGGGUGAAAUCCCGGGGCUCAACCUCGGAACUGCCUUUGAUACAGCAAGUCUUGAGUUCGAGAGAGGUGGGUGGAAUUCCUAGUGUAGAGGUGAAAUUCGUAGAUAUUAGGAAGAACACCGGUGGCGAAGGCGGCCCACUGGCUCGACACUGACGCUGAGGUGCGAAAGCGUGGGGAGCAAACAGG